Molecule: long non-coding RNA, 6501 nt
Organism: Triticum aestivum (bread wheat)
Lineage: Eukaryota; Viridiplantae; Streptophyta; Magnoliopsida; Poales; Poaceae
Exons: 10
Source: RefSeq, a predicted model, not a curated record
ACACUCCUCUCAAUCCCAUCUCCGAUCUCCCUGCCACCGACUCUUUGUUGCCGCCGCCGCCGCCGUCCGAGGGGAGACGCCGCCGCCGCGUCUCCAGGGCAGGGCGGCUUGAAUCCCUGUCGCCGGGAUCGCCCCCGCCGAACUCCGGGCCAUGGCGAGAUCCAGCAGACCAUGGCGGCGAUCAGCGCCGGGACAGGACCAGGAGGCCGCCGGCGUCUCCCUGAUCCGUGACCCCGACGCCAUGGAGCUGCUCGUCAAGGCACGCGCAGGUCCAGCGGCAGGAAGGGCAAAGAGGAGGUCUAGCCUUUCUCACGCGGCACGCAGGCACUCACGCAACCACCACGGAAAACGCCGGGAGGGAACCCUAGACGCCCGCCCGGCCAUGGCCGCCACCGCAGCACAGGAUUCGGUUUUUGUACAACACCAUCACGGAUGCAAACAACAAGGGCUUUAGCGUGCCAGUCACCUCGGUGUUGCUUCUUUCGGACCACGGCGGCGACGGCGCUGUUCGACAACAACUACAAAAACAGCCACGGAGUGGACCUCUCCGGUGGGCAGCUGGGCGUCAUUCAGGAAGAGCACCAGCGUCAUGCCAAGCUGGUGACAUGCAGCCGGAGCUUCGUCGCGGAAGGGGCGACCCUCCUCCUCCAAACAAGACCGUGGGCACGAGCGACGUGCUUGCCGCUGUCGAGGUAGAGGCGCCAUUGGUGCCGAACGUCCUGCAGGAGAUCGUCCAGAACAGGACGACCACGCCCGCGAGGCGGCGAGGCCUGCUCGGGUUCAAGCGAGUGUCAAAGUCGUUGUUGAUGUUGCUCUCUGUUGCUACUACUGUAUGAAUAAAGUGACAAGUCGCUGGUGUACGAAUAAAGAGUGGGUAGCUAAUUUGGUUUCCAGUAUGAAGAAUGAGACAUAGCGCCGCUAGCUGGAGGAAGAUUAAUUUCAACAACAUGGUGGCCAGAGGUACAUUCCUUACCAGAAAUUAUAUAUUGUAGUUGUUCAACAAUUCUUUUUUGCCUGACUAACGCAGUUAUUCAACUGAAACAUCAACUUGUCUUUCUAACUCACAUGGCGCAAGCAAAAGAUGAAGAGGAAGCAGGAGAAGGACGGGAAAUCCUCUGAAAAGGAAUUUGAGUUCUAGAGAGCUUUGUUGGGUUACCACACCAUAUUUGUGCAUGGAAGUUAAACCAUCGGAGUGGGAGUUUGAGGCAACAGUAAUGGCAAAACUUGGGCUGCUGACCGGAGCCCGCAAUUUUGUUAUUUCUGGAAUUUCUCCCAACCAUCAAGGAAGUACGACUGGAUGUCAUCUUUUUGUCAUUGUAUAGGUGGAUAUGUUGGGGCACACGUCAUUUUAACACCACUAGGUUUCUGAAGUAGCUGAUUAUAGUUUGGUAAUGGACAUACAUUCUUUGAAGAAUUAAAUGUAUUACUCACUUGAUUUAAUAGCUCAUUUUAUGCAUAUUCAAAAUACUGAAUGAUAGAAUGAUAUGCUGCCCGUGAUAGUUGUUUCUUGUUUUAUUGGACGUUGGAGCUUUAACUUGUAAUUUGAUCUAUUUAUCCAUUUUUUAUCAUGAAUAGUACGACCAAUGAGGUAGAGGUGAAAUGCUCUGUAAAUAAAGAGAGACUAAGAUGAUUUCCUAUACUACAAUUUUGUAGAGAUGUGGAGAAGGAAAGUGUUACUGUUCUUUCAAUAAAGUUUCAUGUUCUGAGUCUGCAUGGCAUGAAAUUCUCUAAUUUUUUUUCUUUUAGUUUCUUGAGAGGAACAAGUCGCCAUGGACAGGUGAGAUCGAAAGAUGGCACCAUGGUCACGAGGAGCGGCGACUGAGAGGAUAGGAAACAAAUACCGGUGGCCGCGACGGCCCGAGCGUUUGGGAGAUGGGAUGGAGUGGCGGUUGUGGGGCCGUGUCGACACGACCAGUUGCGAGAGCGGUGGCUGCACGGACGCACUUGUGGAGGUGUCGGUAUGCACCCUGGUUUUGAGCCUGUCAUGUCGGAACUAUGUACUUCAGCACAUCCUCUCAUCUCUCUCUCCCUGGGAUGCCCUGGCCUCUCCUUUCUUUGUCCGCGAGUGAUGGCAGCAGGCGAUCCGGAGAACGGGGUGUGGCAGACGGGAAUGGGGACCGGUGGCAGCAGGGAGUGAGAUUUGGUCUCUCUCUCUUCAAGAGGACGGUGCCAUGACAAACUUUGUGAUGCAAACGCAUCAUCUCUGCAACUUUCUAAUGCAAACGAAUCAGGUUCCAUGAUAGAUUUGUUUUUUUGACAGUGAAUAUUGACAAUGAACCAUUUUUCUGCCUGACUUGAAUCAUCAAUGUAAUACGUUGUGUAUUGCUGGUGAGAUCUUAUGUAUUCCUUUAGUUUGUCUACACUCAACCAAUUUUGAACUGUCACUCAUAUAUGUUGUCUGUUAUUUUAUUUUUCCCAGGGAGAAUGUGACGCCGGACACUACAGAAAUGAGUUUAGUAAAGGAUUAAAACUAAUUGUCAUAUGAUGGGAAAUUGGUUUCCUAUGCAAUAAACUUUACAUCCUCUUUUUUUUCUUUACAAGGGAUGGUGACUAUGAUAUUGUCUAUAUCUGGUGGUCUGAAAGGCUUUCAAGGGAAGCGCCACGUUGUUGCUUAUUCCAUGCGAUGAGCACUCUAAUCUUCCUUGUAUGAUAUUAGGAUGUGAGCUUUCAAAAUUUUAUUUCGUUAGUUAAAGCUGUUGUUGGCAUUGUGAUGAAUUAUAAAAAGGUUGUUUGUCCAAGGCUAAUUGCCUCUUUUAUUGUUGGGUAACCAUCCUUUUCCCGCCAAAAUACUUUCCCAUGGUAUAAUUUAUUGAUGAUAUAUGGUGUUAAUAUAAUUGUAGUGUAGAUUUUUCUCAUCCAAAUGCGUCGAUAUAUAAGACUGAAAGUGUUUUGCUAUAUGAUUCCUGUAAAAGCAGUAUUUAAGUUUUUCUGUGGUGAAUGGUGUCUAACAUAUGAGAAUAUUUUCUAUACCCAUUUGACAUUGGUCAGCUACAUUUUCAUCUUACUUUAUAUGAAUUCUUUUCAGACUUGUAACCAACUAUACACAUCACAUUCUGUACUACAUUUAUGUGCAUUUGGAUCUCGCCAAGGCUAAGGUACUGUGAUUCAAGCUUUUCUUUCUAGCUAGGAUUUUAUUUUCUACAAACCGAGGAAUAUCUAACAUACUAGCAGAAGGAAGCGCCGAGGAAGAGGGUAGAGGAGAUGGACACCUAAUGUGCAAGUUCCUGAAUUUCAAUGUUUUCCUGCAAAAACACUUUCCCAUGGUAGAAUUUAUAUGCUGUGUUACUAUUGGGUGUAGCAAUUUCGCAACUCUGGGAAGAGCUUUUGUGGUAGGGCGUCAAAUGUGCCAUCACCCGCGUCGACCUCUCGCCGAUCGCUGUCGCGGGGAUGUGCGACCAACGGGCGGAGCAGGGCACCAGUGAUAAGUUCACCGAUUUGGUCGACUCACCGUUCCCUUCCUCUGUCCAUGCGACGCCGCCUGUCGUUGUUGGGUGUUAAUUCGUUAGGCCCCUUAUGGCGCUACAUAGUGUGUUCAUCUCGCCUGCCUUCUUAUGAGAAAUCAUGUACUGAAGGUAAGAUAUUAUUCAUUUACAUUUUAUUUCUUUCUGAUCAUCGAACAAGAUCUUCGCUUUGGAGAUCUUCUGACUACAUGCACGAAUUUUAGGUCCUACUUGCACAGUUGCCUGCACUUUGGGUUGAGAAAUAUCUUAUAAUUAACAGUACGAUAAUACUUGCAGGAUUAUCUCAGUAGUCAGCACCACCAUCUGAGAUCGCACAUUUAGAACCACGGUGGCACACAGAAAAGUAGUAGUACCAAGUUCAUAUGGUCAAAUAACUAAUAUGAAAUACUACCCUCAGUUUAGAUCCAUUUCAGAGGGUCUCAUAUCAACACCUAUAUGUGGGAGUUUCAGAAUAUAGACUUACUUAUAAGCUCGGAUAAUAUAUUAAGCUUGAAAUGUACUCCCUGGUUCUGUAGGGGUUUCUGAAAUGAGUAGAAGAUUAAUAUCUGCUAAUUAACAGUACAUAUUGAUUUACUUAUCGAUUUAUUCACAUUCUAUCAGAUUUGUCUUGAAUGUGAUACUUUAUUGACUGUACUGAACACUGGAAGCAAACUGUUUUAUUAUAUAGGAUUAGCCUGCAUUAAUUUCUUUAUAAGUUCUCCUUGAGAUCAAUUUGCAUACUUGGGCCACUAGGGCCUUUGGUUAGUUUACAACUGGAAUUCUAGACACGUAUACUGAGUUCAUGAUGGAAAUAUAUACGAGUAUUCUCAAGGUAUGGAAAAUGUUUUAAUUACUACCAGAUGGAAUUAUUUUCACCAUAUUUCUAGAUAUCAUUUCCUCUGACAACUAUGUGCGAGUUUGCGGAGGAUCCAAAGUGAUGCAUAAAGUGGGAUAUUUUGGCUUUAAUUUAUGUACUCAUGAAAUGGGAAAGAACUAAAUCAACCAAUUUGCAAUGUGAGCAUUCAUUGUUUCAGAAUUUAUAUUCUUCCAUGUUAAAACUCCAGAUGAUGACUUAUAAUGCGCAUAUAGGAUGGUUGCAAGUUAAGAAGGUGAUUUUUGGUGCACCUUCUCAACUACAUCGAUAAUGAAGCUAUAAACAACAUCCUUAAAUUUUUACUCUAUGCUUAUGCAGCUGCAUUGUAAUGCUCAUUUAUUUGUAACGUUUUUGUAUCGUAUCAAGGUACCAUCACUACCAGAAACUGAACUAUUUCUGUGGGUAAUAAUUUUUCCUGUCGGGCCCGCAGUAGCUCACAGGAAUAUGCACUAUAUUCCUGUGCGCCGGCAGAGAACACACAGAAAUAGUUAUAUCCGUGUCGGGCCUUGGUCGGCCCACAGAAGUAAGAUUUAUUCCUGUCGUGCGUAACUCACAGCGAAAAAGGAGCCCAUGUUUGGCGCCAUGGAUUUCAGUCGCGCGCGCAAAAGCAAGCCCGCCCCGCCGCUUAGCCAAUUUUUGGGCCUGCCGCUCACCGGUUAAAAUCUUGGAAUAAAGCCUCUAGUGAAAAAAAUCCCACCUUCCAGAUGCAGACCAGAGCUAUCUUCGCUUCCCAGCCUCAUCCCAAAUCCCUAGCCGCCGCCAGCAGGGGCGCCCCAAAUCCCUCGUCGUUGCCAGCCGGCUGCCCAUCAAAUCCCUCCUCGCCGGAUGCGCCGCAGAUCUCUCACCGCCGGAUGCACCUCCUCCAGCCUCUCGCCCGCUCCCUCCACCAUAUUCGCUGGGUGUCGACCAAGAACGGUCGCCUACAAAUGUUGUCGUCAACCUUCUCACUACCUCCGGAGGAUGGUCGCCGUCAAUGUACCCGCCGCUGCCGUCACUUGACCGCCACCGCAUCCUUAUCCAGGUGACGCCCCUUCCAGAUCCAGGUGCUGUUUUCGUAUUCCCUUCUUUACGAUUUGUUUUCUUUUCUUGAUAACUUUCAUAUGUGCGUACCUCCGGUAGGAUUCAGCAGAAACUACAAGCAUUUUGGCAUCCCUCAUGUGCUGGGUACUGGUGGAAGCAAUGGCUCUACACACAUUUGUUUUGAAUAGGCCAAGCCGUCAAGGUUUACAAGACUUCUCAGAAACAUCACUUCUUACUACGAAGAAAGCAGAGUUAAGCUAUUGACAUUUGACAGUCAAGGACAGGUUUGCAUGAUGUGAAUAUUGCUGCAUGAGGGGAGAAGAAUCUGCAAGACAACACAGGAAGCAAUGAGCAGCUCCAUGGCAAGUACAAGCUAAAUUAUCUGUACAACAAGGAGAGGCUGCAAGAAGUUAAGGUUUUCAACCAAGGCAAGAAAUUCUACAUAUUCUUCUGAAUGAAGAGAUGUCGUUCCCUGUUGUUACAUUAUCGAAUAAUUGCAUAAUGCUUUGGUUUUUUAUUAUUAUGGAGAAGAUGACGACUGCCCUUGUUUUUUGGAAAAUCUGAAAUGGAUAUAUUUGACUCCAUGUCGUUAUACAAUACUUGCAAGAAGCCUCUAAUAACUUAUCUACUCAGGCUGUUAGCUGAUAGUUCUUUCCAACUAAUCCAGAAACUCAGCUUGUCAUUUGAAUGGAUUUUGUCAGUUGCAUGGUCUGUAUAUGAUGCUAGAACAAAUUACUCCAUUGUUUUGUCCUGUAAAACUGGAUAACUUUGAUCUGACAAAAACAGGUAGGACAUAUAUGCCAAUGUUAUUGUGAGAAACUGAGAUAUCAAAUAGAUUAUGCUAAUUAUAUCUUAUAAAUAUUUUCCUAUUUCUUGUUACAUUUUUUCAAGCUCGAUUAUAUCCACUGCAGGGUAACCUUGAAAAGAAGCUUGCAACUUAAGCUACAGAAAAACAUUACAGAAAAUGAGAUCUCACGUUGUGAGUAUUUAGUUGAUGCACUUGUGUAUUUUAUGAUGUCGCACCUCUGUUUUCGUUGACUUUUGGUUCCUGUAUGUAAAUUCUAUGGAAUUGUAUGAUGUGUGACUUUGUAAAAUCUUCAUGUAAGCUAUUGAUAUUGGGCUUCUAUGUUAUAAAUAUUCUGAGUAAUUGAAAAGCUAGUGUAAAUA